This 522-nucleotide ribosomal RNA is filed under the name uncultured bacterium. RNAcentral describes it as "bacterial SSU rRNA". It matches the Rfam family "Bacterial small subunit ribosomal RNA", at positions 8 to 518 of the family's 1533-position model. The record is from RNAcentral.
AGAGUUUGAUUAUGGCUCAGGAUGAACGCUAGCUACAGGCUUAACACAUGCAAGUCGAGGGGCAGCAUAGGGUUGCUUGCAAACUCUGAUGGCGACCGGCGCACGGGUGAGUAACGCGUAUCCAACCUGCCCAUGGCUAGGGAAUAGCCCGUUGAAAAGCGGAUUAAUGCCCUAUGGCGUCCUUUGAAGGCAUCUAACGAGGACUAAAGGUUUACCGGCCAUGGAUGGGGAUGCGUCCGAUUAGGUAGUUGGCGGGGUAACGGCCCACCAAGCCUUCGAUCGGUAGGGGUUCUGAGAGGAAGGUCCCCCACAUUGGAACUGAGACACGGUCCAAACCCCUACGGGAGGCAGCAGUGAGGAAUAUUGGUCAAUGGGCGGAAGCCUGAACCAGCCAAGUAGCGUGCAGGAUGAACCGGCCCUAUGGGUUGUAAACUGCUUUUAUGCGGGAAUAAAGAGGCUCACGUGUGGGCUGUUGCAUGUACCGCAUGAAUAAGGACCGGCUAAUUCCGUGCCAGCCGCAGC